GUCCCAAAUCACGCCAAAGUAAGUUCUGAAAAAAUAAUUUAUACUGAAACAAUAAAAAUCAUACAUUUAAUCAAUGGUCGUAACAUUUAGGAGCCUCAAAUGUUUGUUCAUUGUCAAUGACGCUGCUCAUAACGGGCGGAUAGAGUGACUAAAUUUGAGAAUGCAUUUCUAUACAUUUAAAGUGUAAAUAAUUGUUCUCAUUACCGAAUUAAGUUAGUUAUGACGUUCUUAUGGAAAGGGAUCAGUCCCUCAUUCCUUCAUUUGCUAUAAAUUUUCAAUAGUUUCUUCAGUGCAAAAUAUUCAUAUUUAAUUUAUAAUAUAAUUUGUAGAGUUGAGGCCGUGAACAAUGUUUCUGAGUGGUAUAUAUAUGAGGCUUUUACCAGCCAUUCCUAAAAUGAACAGCACCAUGACGUAACUGAUCUUAAAAAACUAAAAUAAUGCGUCACUUUGAUGUUUGAUCCUUAUUCAGUGCUUAUAAGUUUUGUCCAAUAUGUUUUUUAAGAUCUUAUUAUAUUUAAAUGAAUAUUCGUGACUAUGUUGAAUAUUAAUAUUUAUUUAUAUAAUUAAACACUACAGUAUGCUGGUGUGUGGUAUCAGAUCGCACUUACUGAAACCUUGUUUCAGCCGCUCAGUCAAUGUGUUCUCAAUGAAUAUUCCUUCGGUGAAAAGCAGUUUAAUGUUAUUUCAUCUGGUGUGAGUGCUGAGGGUAGUUUGUUGAAGAUCCAUGGUAAAGUGUAUCCUAGUCCCGUGGGUGAACCUGAGCUCAGUGUAGACUUCCAGCAGUCAUUUCCCGCCCCGUACGUCAUCCUGAAGACGGACUACACUAACUAUGCCUGUGUGUACUCCUGCAUCGGUUUAAACUCUGAUUACUACACAGACGUUGCUUUUAUCUUAGCUCGCUCACCCACUCCGGAAGACAGG
This is a non-coding RNA of Cherax quadricarinatus, 921 nucleotides long. Lineage: Eukaryota; Metazoa; Arthropoda; Malacostraca; Decapoda; Parastacidae. The record is from RefSeq and is a predicted model, not a curated record.